GACGAACGCUGGCGGCGUGCUUAACACAUGCAAGUCGAACGGAAAGGCCCUGCUUUUGUGGGGUGCUCGAGUGGCGAACGGGUGAGUAACACGUGAGUAACCUGCCCUUGACUUUGGGAUAACUUCAGGAAACUGGGGCUAAUACCGGAUAGGAGCUCCUGCUGCAUGGUGGGGGUUGGAAAGUUUCGGCGGUUGGGGAUGGACUCGCGGCUUAUCAGCUUGUUGGUGGGGUAGUGGCUUACCAAGGCUUUGACGGGUAGCCGGCCUGAGAGGGUGACCGGCGACAUUGGGACUGAGAUACGGCCCAGAGUCCAACGGGAGGCAGCAGGGGGGAAUAUUGCACAAUGGGCGGAAGCCUGAUGCAGCAACGCCGCGUGCGGGAUGACGGCCUUCGGGUUGUAAACCGCUUUCGCCUGUGACGAAGCGUGAGUGACGGUAAUGGGUAAAGAAGCACCGGCUAACUACGUG
Molecule: ribosomal RNA, 468 nt
Filed under: uncultured bacterium
Lineage: Bacteria
Description: partial 16S ribosomal RNA
Rfam family: Bacterial small subunit ribosomal RNA
Source: RNAcentral